GACGAACGCUGGCGGCGUGCUUAACACAUGCAAGUCGAACGCUGAAGCUCAGCUUUUGUUGGGUGGAUGAGUGGCGAACGGGUGAGUAACACGUGUGUAACCUGCCCCCUUCUUUGGGAUAACGCCCGGAAACGGGUGCUAAUACUGGAUAUUCACUGGUCUUCGCAUGGGGGUUGGUGGAAAGGGUUUUUCUGGUGGGGGAUGGGCUCGCGGCCUAUCAGCUUGUUGGUGGGGUGAUGGCCUACCAAGGCUUUGACGGGUAGCCGGCCUGAGAGGGUGACCGGUCACAUUGGGACUGAGAUACGGCCCAGACUCCUACGGGAGGCAGCAGUGGGGAAUAUUGCACAAUGGGCGCAAGCCUGAUGCAGCGACGCCGCGUGAGGGAUGGAGGCCUUCGGGUUGUGAACCUCUUUCGCUCAUGGUCAAGCCGCAACAAUGGUUGUGGUGAGGGUAGUGGGUAAAGAAGCGCCGGCUAACUACGUG
This 483-nucleotide ribosomal RNA is filed under the name uncultured bacterium. RNAcentral describes it as "partial 16S ribosomal RNA". It matches the Rfam family "Bacterial small subunit ribosomal RNA", at positions 28 to 507 of the family's 1533-position model. The record is from RNAcentral.